RNAcentral lists this ribosomal RNA (440 nucleotides) under uncultured Chitinophagaceae bacterium. RNAcentral's name for it is "bacterial SSU rRNA". It matches the Rfam family "Bacterial small subunit ribosomal RNA", at positions 348 to 785 of the family's 1533-position model. The record is from RNAcentral. Lineage: Bacteria; Pseudomonadati; Bacteroidota; Chitinophagia; Chitinophagales; Chitinophagaceae.
GCAGCAGUAAGGAAUAUUGGUCAAUGGACGCAAGUCUGAACCAGCCAUGCCGCGUGAAGGAUGAAGGUCCUCUGGAUUGUAAACUUCUUUUAUUUGGGAAGAAAUCCCGGAAUUCUUUUCGGGUUGACGGUACCAGAUGAAUAAGCACCGGCUAACUCCGUGCCAGCAGCCGCGGUAAUACGGAGGGUGCAAGCGUUAUCCGGAUUCACUGGGUUUAAAGGGUGCGUAGGUGGGCAGGUAAGUCAGUGGUGAAAUCUUCGAGCUUAACUCGGAAACUGCCGUUGAUACUAUCUGUCUUGAAUACCGUGGAGGUGAGCGGAAUAUGUCAUGUAGCGGUGAAAUGCUUAGAUAUGACAUAGAACACCGAUUGCGAAGGCAGCUCACUACACGAAUAUUGACUCUGAGGCACGAAAGCGUGGGGAUCAAACAGGAUUAGAUAC